CAGGAUUGUGAGUGGCCUCUGGGAGCUGAGGGAAGCUUCCAGUUGAUGUCCAACAAGAAGCUGGGAUCCUUAGUCCUACAGGCAAAGGACACAAAUUCUGUCAACAACCUGAGUGUAUUCCUGGUCCUGCUCAGUGCUCUGGCAGGGUGAACCUCUACUGAUUGCAUCAAUUUGCUCCCUUUUCUCUGGCUUCUCAAUGGGUUCAGCCAAUGGGAGGCACCAGCAGGAAAUCAAAGAAUGGAAGGCAAGAGAAGGCUGCAUUCAAGAGCAUGUAAGCAUCUAAUGUGCAUGCACUGAACUUCUUCAAGGGACAAGAACCUGGCUCCUGAGGCCUGUGGGCUUCCACUUGACACCAGGAAUUCUAAAGUGCCCACACUCAAAAGAAGUCAUUCUCUUCCCCGGUGUCCUGAUUGAAAAAGUGGAUAGCAGAGAAAAGAUUUGAAUCAUGUACUAGUUUUGAAGAGUCACAUUGGAAAAUGUGCUGUAUCCAUUAACCUUUUUGCAAAGAGCAGAAGGUCCACAGAGUUUGUCAGCAUGGCGUAUACUGUACUGUAGGAAAACAUACAUAAAUAAGGUAAAGCCAGCCUCUGUGUUAUGAGGACACUCCAGCAGUCCUAUGGAGAGGAUCAUGAGGAGGGAAACCAAGAUCUCCAGAGGAACAGACACCCCCUGACAACAUCCAGGGGAGUAAGCUGGGAAGCAGAUUACCUGGUCUUGGUCAAGACUUCGUAUGACUGCAAUCCUGGCCAGCACCUUCACUGCAACUUCAUGAAAGAUCCUAGACCAGAACCAUCCAGUUAAGCUGUCCUGUUUUUCCAACCCAUGGAAAUAAUGAGAAAAUAAAUGUUUGUUGUUUUAGGUCAUUCUAUUUUGGAAUGAUUUAUCAUAUAAUAAUCAAUAACUAAUACAGUACCAGGGGCAGGUUUUAAUUUGGAAUGAGUGUAUAGGAAAAUAUAAAGAAUAUGGUCAGAAAAAUUUAUCUUUUAUCCUUUAUUUUUUUUAUAUAUAGAAAUUAAUAGGCAUUAUGUAGAGAAAAUAGGAACACUUUUCAUGGGGUAUUUGGGUUGCAAAGUCAGAAAAUAUAACUCACACUUAUGUCAUCAUCGUUAUAAUUCUUACCAAAUACUAUUAAAAAUAAACUAUUUCAAAUAGUACUCUUGUAUUCAAUGACUUUUAUAAAGCCAUUGAAUAACAUAUCCCAGCUCUUAGGAACUCACAGAAUAUAGCAAUCUCUAC
This 1236-nucleotide long non-coding RNA is filed under the name Equus caballus (horse). Its description in RNAcentral is "lncRNA (ENSECAG00000031606.3)". Lineage: Eukaryota; Metazoa; Chordata; Mammalia; Perissodactyla; Equidae. The record is from RNAcentral.